ACGGAAGGCAGCAGUCGGGAAUAUUGCGCAAUGGAGGGAACUCUGACGCAGUGACGCCGCGUAUAGGAAGAAGGUUUUCGGAUUGUAAACUAUUUUAGACAGGGAAGACAAAGACAGUACCUGUAGAAUAAGCUCCGGCUAACUACGAGCCAGCAGCCGCGGUAAUACGUAGGGAGCAAGCGUUAUCCGGAUUUAUUGGGUGUAAAGGGUGCGUAGACGGGAAAGCAAGUUAGUUGUGAAAGCCCUCGGCUUAACUGAGGAACUGCAACUAAAACUACUAUUCUUGAGUGCAGGAGAGGAAAGCGGAAUUCCUAGUGUAGCGGUGAAAUGCGUAGAUAUUAGGAGGAACACCAGUGGCGAAGGCGACUUUCUGGACAGUAACUGACACUGAGGUACGAAAGUGUGGGGAGCAAACAGGAUUAGAUACCCUGGUA
The sequence is a ribosomal RNA, 434 nucleotides long. It matches the Rfam family "Bacterial small subunit ribosomal RNA", at positions 341 to 792 of the family's 1533-position model.